Molecule: long non-coding RNA, 1104 nt
Filed under: Nicotiana benthamiana
Lineage: Eukaryota; Viridiplantae; Streptophyta; Magnoliopsida; Solanales; Solanaceae
Description: long non-coding RNA (NBEN_LNC002640)
Source: RNAcentral
UACACUAUCCGCUAGUUAGUUUUCUAGCUAAAAACUUUGUUUUCUCAUAUAAUGAACUAGAGAUGCCUUGUCUCAUACUUUUGAACUGUACUCCAGCAAUUAUACCUGUCAAUGGUAACACCGAGCUUCUAAAUAGUUUGGAGGAAUUUCCUUGUACCCAUGAUCUUUACAAUUCAAUGCUAUGAACCACCUGAUAAUUGGUCAUGUGCAACUAUCGCACUAUUCCGCUCCCCCUCCCCCUCACCCUUCAUUUUGUUAGAGUUCUUUUAUCUAUUUCUUUCUCAGCUUUACCCUUUAAAAAUCUUUUAUUAAAUUUCUUGGUGCUGAAUCCAUUUGCAUCUGCUAUUAUUAGUUACGCACAGAGAAAGUUGUUUUGUUGGUAAUGGCAAUGGAUUACAUAGUAUAUAGUCUCAUGUAUCGUUUGGCAGGUGGAUGUUCCAUUAUUGAAACUUCUCUGGGCUGACCAAUACCCAAUAGGUGCUAUUGGCAGAUGUUUUGAUUUUAUCUUUUACCUGAUUUUCAUUUUAGCCUUUACUGCAUAGAAACCAAAGAAGUAACUGAUUUGUUAGGUAGUUGCUGCUGAUAAUAUUGUAUCAAACCUCAAUCUCAAUGCUUUGAAAUAUUCAUUUUUUUCAAGUACUUCUGAAGUAUUCAUCUUAUGUAGCUACAUAUGUAUUGCUUGGUAUACAGCCUAACUAUUCCAGUCAUCAUUGCUCUGUUGUUGCAUUCAUUUUCAUCAAGACUUUAAAGUUCCAGCUCGUUUGCAGGUUGAAGCAGCUGUUUCUGAGAGGGAGCGCAUGUUGCUAGGCAAAGUAUCUGAGCUUCAAGCUAGGUGAGCUAAGCAGUGGACUCACAUCAACUUUGUCGUCAUGCUUCUCUUUUAUACAGACUCUUUUCUUAAACUGAUCUUAUCGCAAUUGCGCAGGAUGAUUAGCCUGACAGAUGAAUUAACAACAGAAAAACUAAAAUAUAUGCAGGUGAGUGACCUAAUUGGUUUUCGUUUAUGCAAGUGGAUCGAAAAAUAGACAUAAAAUAUACGAUAUAGACUAUGACUUGAGUUCUUUCAGGGGUCAGGACCAGCAGGUGCUUCCCCCGCUCCCCCCU